Molecule: long non-coding RNA, 3311 nt
Filed under: Homo sapiens (human)
Lineage: Eukaryota; Metazoa; Chordata; Mammalia; Primates; Hominidae
Description: HSALNT0369810
Source: RNAcentral
ACUAAACAUAAUGUCCUCCAGGCUUAUCUAUGAUGUUGCAAAUGACAGAAUUUCUUUCUUUUUAAAGGGUGUCUAGUAUUGUGUAGCCAAUUCUUCAUAAUCCCAAGAUAUCAUUACUAUGUGAUAAUAAAGGCAAGCGUAUGAAGUAAAAGAAACUGUAGUAGGUCAAACUAAUAAGAAAAAUGCUGAUCUGAAUGUCUAUACAAUGCAUAGAUUGUGUUUUUAAAAAUGCAACAGUAUAUAAUUUCCGGACCUGCUAUAGUCUUGGGAACUAAGCAGUAUAAAACUUGGCUAGUGACUAGAUAAAAUGAUGAUGUAUAACAGACAUUAGUUACUUAUAUGCUUAAUUAAUCUGAACAUUUACCCUACACUCUUAUUGGCGUUAUUAAUUUGUUCAAUUUGUUAAAAGAGUUUCCUAAGAAAAUGUGGCUUUAUUUCAGUACCUAUUUUGAAUCCCAAAUAUUUUUUAUAUUCUGGCUUGAUAACUGAGUGACUAAGAGGUUUCAGGGCCUUGCUACUUGGGUUUGUAUACAGGCCUACCAUUUUCUGGCUAUGUUUUCUUAGAUUACUUCACCUCUCUGUAACUUAGUUUCCUCAAUGAUAAAAUAAAAAUAAUAAUCAUGGUCACCUCAUAGGGUAGUUAGGAGGAUUGAAUGUGUUAGUUCUUAUAAAGUGAUUAAAGAACCAAAUGCAUAGUAUGUUAGUUCUUGUUUAUUUUUCUUGAAGUUAACUGUAGGAAUUUUACCACUUACAAUUUACAGUGGCAUUGCUCUAUGGGAAUAAUACUACGUGGGAGGAUUCUACCGUGGUUUUUGAUAUAGUUUGGAUGCUGUCCUCCUCCAAAUCUCAUGUGGAAAUGUAAUCUCCAGUGUUGAAGGUGGGGCCUCGUGGGAGGUGAUUGGAUCAUGGGGAGUCUUUCCCCCUUGGUACUGUCCUCACCACAGUGAGUGAGGUCCUGUGAGAUCUCAUUGUUUAAAAGUGUGUGGCACUCCCCCAACUCCUGCUCCUGCUUCCGCCAUGUGAAAUGCCUCACUUCCCCUUUGCCUUCCACCAUGAUUGGAAGAUUCCUGAGGCCUCCCCAGAAGCAAAAGCUGCUAUGCUUCAUGUACAACCUGCAGAGCCAUGAGCCAAUUAAACCUCUUUUCUUUAUAAAUUACCCAGUCUUAGGUAUUUUUUUAUAGCAGUGAAUGGAUUAACACAUUUUAUUUCAAAUUUAUAUCCUGUAUAGCCUUGCAUUAUGAAAAGAGCACAGAACAGGAAGUUAGGACAUCUUGCUUUGAGGUCUAGAACAGCCAUCAACUAUAUGAUCUUGGGUGAGUCACUUCACCUCUCUGAACCUGUUUCCUCAAGAAAAAUAAGCAGAGUAGGCUGCCUGCGUGAUCUCAAGACAACACACUGUGCUAGAAUGAGUCUUACAGCAAGAGUUCAAAGUUCAAAUUCUAAUUCUAGAACUCGUUGAGUGUAAAAUUCACAGCAAGUCAUAGAACCUCUUGGAACCCCAGUUUCCACAUCUGGAAGAAGGGGCAGAAUAGUAUCAAAAAUGCUUCACUCCCAGGAAUGUGGUGAGCAUAAAAUUAAAUAAUGAAAAAGUCAACUAUAAAGCACUAAAUAAAUAUAAGAUGGUGAAUCUGACAGAGGAAGAAUUAAAUGACUUGUUCAAGGUCACCUUUGAGGAAUUUGCAGGAAGUUUAACUUAUGUAUAUUUUUCCCCUGUAGUACCCCAGUCUAUAUUUUUUCAGGGGCCUAAUGACAGGAAAACAAAUGAAGUGGAUCCCCAUCUUCCACCCUUGCCUCCGCUAAGCCAUCAGAGGACAAGUUUCCCACCCCACUCUCUCCAAUUUCACUUGAAAAAUAAAACAGGCCUCCAGCUGUGAAAUGGAUUAUGCUCUACAACUAUGUACCUGGAAUAGAAGCCAUCAUUCUUCAUGAAGUUUGCUGAGAAUUAUGUAUCGCAGCCUGGCAGCUUCCUGUUCCCUCGUUAGCCUGCAUAUCCCACUUAACGAAAGAUUCGCCAUGCACUGACUUGUAUGUGACUCACAGUGUGCACAGUAUGCACUGACUGUGACCUGUCCCCAAAUGAACACAGUACCAGUCUAACGUACCACCUUACCUAUGGCUCUCUCCCAUACACACCCAAUCCACUGCAGGCAAAUGAUCUACCCACAAUCUCCCAAACACAGUCUUCACUGUCUGGUCACUGCUCCUUUACACGUGGCAUUCACUCUGCUUGCAGAGGCAUUUUAGAGUGGAUAUCUAAAGAAGGAGAUUUCUCCCAAGCAUGCACAUAGGAGGGCACUGGUCUGAUGCUCUGAUUGACAGUUCACUACUGCAAAGAGGACAGAUGAGAAAGCAGCUCAGCUCUUUGAUGCUAAGGAAAAAACACAGAACCUCACUUAUCUAUAUGUAAUCACAAACUUUAGUAUCCAUCAGUACCAAGCCAAAAUAGUUCCUGUUUGGACAUACAUUAUUAGAAAUUAACAACAAAAUUUAGUAAAUGGUUGGCCAGUUCUGAACGCAGAAUAGCCACCUCUGAGUGAGCAUUUUGAUCAAUCUAACUCACACAUUUCUGGUUCAACAAAGUUAUUAGAUGAGAAGACCCAAAACGGUGUGUAAAUGGGACACAGAUUUAUAAACAGUUAAUUUAUAAUCAUAUAUGGCAAAUUAACCUGUAUGUCACUAAUGUGCCACCAAUCAUAAGACAUGCCAUCAUUUAAUCUGUCAUGAAGAAGUGAAAAACUCAAUUAAACGGUGACAUCAUGCUUCCUGAUUAGAAAUGUUCAUUUUUUUGUUAUGCUAAAUUUACAUAAAUACAUAUUUAUUUAAACAACACGGGGCCACAAUAUGAACAUCUAUGCCCAAGUUUCUGCAUGCCCAGCAAUGACUGCCACCCUGACAAUGGUGACUGAUAUCAUCAAGUGUAACAUGCAUCCUGAUUCAAGUUGUUCAACUGUGACACAACGGGUACCUUAGCACUGAUGAAAUAUGGUACCCGCCUGCGUCACAUGAGCUUCUCAUGAUCCAGCAGCCUCUCCUCACCUGACACUGGCUCUAGUCCCCAGUAAUGACUCUGAUCCUGUUUGUCCUAGGAGUCUUCUCUUCCUUUGUUUCCCACUUCCCUCACUGGGCUACUCAGUAACCAGUUAGCUGUUAAGGCGCAAGCCUUUUUUUAUUUUAAUUUUUAUUUUUUCCAAAACUCCUCAACAAUUGCAAUUGCCACUUUGUUUCUACUAUUAUUGCCCUUGACUUAUUUCUUUAUUUAUUUAAGUUUCUUUUGUUUUUAAACAAGAAGGCUGGGUACAGUGGCUCGUGCA